RNAcentral lists this ribosomal RNA (449 nucleotides) under uncultured bacterium. RNAcentral describes it as "partial 16S ribosomal RNA". It matches the Rfam family "Bacterial small subunit ribosomal RNA", at positions 29 to 523 of the family's 1533-position model. The record is from RNAcentral.
AACGAACGCUGGCGGCAGGCUUAACACAUGCAAGUCGAACGCAUCCUUCGGGGUGAGUGGCAGACGGGUGAGUAACACGUGGGAACGUGCCUUUAGGUUCGGAAUAGCUCCUGGAAACGGGUGGUAAUGCCGAAUGUGCCCUUAGGGGGAAAGAUUUAUCGCCUUUAGAGCGGCCCGCGUCUGAUUAGCUAGUUGGUGAGGUAAUGGCUCACCAAGGCUACGAUCAGUAGCUGGUCUGAGAGGAUGACCAGCCACAUUGGGACUGAGACACGGCCCAAACUCCUACGGGAGGCAGCAGUGGGGAAUCUUGCGCAAUGGGCGAAAGCCUGACGCAGCCAUGCCGCGUGGAUGAUGAAGGUCUUAGGAUUGUAAAAUCCUUUCACCGGUGAAGAUAAUGACUGUAGCCGGAGAAGAAGCCCCGGCUAACUUCGUGCCAGCCGCCGCGGUAA